Candidatus Riesia pediculischaeffi is the source of this 75-nucleotide non-coding RNA. The record is from Rfam. NCBI's taxonomy places the organism in Bacteria, Pseudomonadati, Pseudomonadota, Gammaproteobacteria, Enterobacterales, Enterobacteriaceae.
GCUGAUAUAGCUCAGUAUCGGUAGAGCACACCUUUGGUAUAGGUGAGGUCGGCAGUUCAAUUCUGCCUAUCAGCA